UUCCAGACUCCUACGGGAGGCAGCAGUGGGGAAUAUUGCACAAUGGGGGAAACCCUGAUGCAGCGACGCCGCGUGAGUGAAGAAGUAUCUCGGUACGUAAAGCUCUAUCAGCAGGGAAGAUAAUGACGGUACCUGACCAAGAAGCCCCGGCUAACUACGUGCCAGCAGCCGCGGUAAUACGUAGGGGGCAAGCGUUAUCCGGAUUUACUGGGUGUAAAGGGAGCGUAGACGGCAGCACAAGUCUGGAGUGAAAUCCCGGGGCUUAACCCCGGAACUGCUUUGGAAACUGUGCGGCUGGAGUGCAGGAGGGGUAAGCGGAAUUCCUAGUGUAGCGGUGAAAUGCGUAGAUAUUAGGAGGAACACCGGUGGCGAAGGCGGCCCCCUGGACGAAGACUGACGCUCAGGUGCGAAAGCGUGGGGAGCAAACAGGAUUAGAUACCCCAGUAU
RNAcentral lists this ribosomal RNA (447 nucleotides) under uncultured bacterium. Its description in RNAcentral is "bacterial SSU rRNA". It matches the Rfam family "Bacterial small subunit ribosomal RNA", at positions 329 to 793 of the family's 1533-position model. The record is from RNAcentral.